GACGAACGCUGGCGGCGUGCUUAACACAUGCAAGUCGAACGGAAAGGCCCUGCUUUUGUGGGGUGCUCGAGUGGCGAACGGGUGAGUAACACGUGAGUAACCCGCCCUUGACUUUGGAAUAACUUCAGGAAACUGGGGCUAAUACCGGAUAGGAGCUCCUGCUGCAUGGUGGGGGUUGGAAAGUUUCGGCGGUUGGGGAUGGACUCGCGGCUUAUCAGCUUGUUGGUGGGGUAGUGGCUUACCAAGGCUUUGACGGGUAGCCGGCCUGAGAGGGUGACCGGCCACAUUGGGACUGAGAUACGGCCCAGACUCCUACGGGAGGCAGCAGUGGGGAAUAUUGCACAAUGGGCGGAAGCCUGAUGCAGCAACGCCGCGUGCGGGAUGACGGCCUUCGGGUUGUAAACCGCUUUCGCCUGUGACGAAGCGUGAGUGACGGUAAUGGGUAAAGAAGCACCGGCUAACUACGUGCCAGCAGCCGCGGUGAUACGUAGGGUGCGAGCGUUGUCCGGAUUUAUUGGGCGUAAAGGGCUCGUAGGUGGUUGAUCGCGUCGGAAGUGUAAUCUUGGGGCUUAACCCUGAGCGUGCUUUCGAUACGGGUUGACUUGAGGAAGGUAGGGGAGAAUGGAAUUCCUGGUGGAGCGGUGGAAUGCGCAGAUAUCAGGAGGAACACCAGUGGCGAAGGCGGUUCUCUGGGCCUUUCCUGACGCUGAGGAGCGAAAGCGUGGGGAGCGAACAGGCUUAGAUACCCUGGUAGUCCACGCUGUAAACGGUGGGUACUAGGUGUGGGGUCCAUUCCACGGGUUCCGUGCCGUAGCUAACGCUUUAAGUACCCCGCCUGGGGAGUACGGCCGCAAGGCUAAAACUCAAAGGAAUUGACGGGGCCCCGCACAAGCGGCGGAGCAUGCGGAUUAAUUCGAUGCAACGCGUAGAACCUUACCUGGGUUUGACAUGGAUCGGGAGCGCUCAGAGAUGGGUGUGCCUCUUUUGGGGUCGGUUCACAGGUGGUGCAUGGCUGUCGUCAGCUCGUGUCGUGAGAUGUUGGGUUAAGUCCCGCAACGAGCGCAACCCUUGUUCACUGUUGCCAGCACGUUAUGGUGGGGACUCAGUGGAGACCGCCGGGGUCAACUCGGAGGAAGGUGGGGAUGACGUCAAGUCAUCAUGCCCCUUAUGUCCAGGGCUUCACGCAUGCUACAAUGGCUGGUACAGAGAGUGGCGAGCCUGUGAGGGUGAGCGAAUCUCGGAAAGCCGGUCUCAGUUCGGAUUGGGGUCUGCAACUCGACCUCAUGAAGUCGGAGUCGCUAGUAAUCGCAGAUCAGCAACGCUGCGGUGAAUACGUUCCCGGG
This 1343-nucleotide ribosomal RNA is filed under the name uncultured bacterium. RNAcentral's name for it is "16S ribosomal RNA". It matches the Rfam family "Bacterial small subunit ribosomal RNA", at positions 28 to 1378 of the family's 1533-position model. The record is from RNAcentral.